AACUUAUAAUAUGCCUGAGUUGCGAAUUCGUUUUUUUUUAUUGUUUUAUCUUAGAACAAAAUCAGAGGACUACAGUAAAUGUACCAUUAUUCUGGCAUGAUAUUUUUUUUGUCUAAAACAACUUUUUUUGGCUUCAGCACUUUAUAUAUUAGCUAAGGACCACUUCUUAUGCGGCAAAAUCGUCAACUCUACAUUGAAAAACAC
Molecule: long non-coding RNA, 204 nt
Filed under: Mytilus galloprovincialis (Mediterranean mussel)
Lineage: Eukaryota; Metazoa; Mollusca; Bivalvia; Mytilida; Mytilidae
Source: RNAcentral